Portunus trituberculatus (swimming crab) is the source of this 929-nucleotide long non-coding RNA. RefSeq lists it as uncharacterized. The record is from RefSeq and is a predicted model, not a curated record. NCBI's taxonomy places the organism in Eukaryota, Metazoa, Arthropoda, Malacostraca, Decapoda, Portunidae. The transcript has 2 exons.
CUGGUACAAAUCGACUUAUACCUGGAACAAAGCACACAGACCAAUUGGACUUCUCCUUACACUAUGAGGUUAGGUUAGACUGAAGAUGACCAGGAAGCAGUACAAAACAGUAAGGAAUGAAAUGACAAGAGGUACAAAACAACUACUUAUCAACAGGACUAUCGCCACAUGAACUGUGAGGAGCUGGAUGAUGUAAAAUGGUUCUGCAGCAAGUUCUCACCACAGAGCACAGGCAUUCAUAUUGCAGUGAGAUAUGUUGCAAGAGAUUAAUGAAAUGUAAUGAAGUUAGAACAAGUAGAGGAAAUUCACUGAAACUUUUCAAGCCAAGAUCCACAUUAAAUGUAAGGAAAUGUCUUUCCGUACAGGGUAGUAAAUUCUUGGAACCUUUUACCUGACUGGUUAGUUUCAGCAAUUUUCGUGAAGAAAUUAGUGGUAAAAUUAGACCAAUUCUGGGCAAAUCAAAAUUUAUAUUAUGAUUACCACCACAUGCUACCAAAACACAGAAAUGAAGAUCUGGAGCCACGGGCAUAAGCCUCUUCCAGGAAGUCAACUGUAAGAAACUAAGUGUCACCAGUUGUGACUCUGCUGCACCAUGAGGAUCAAAAUUGUAAAGUUGAAAGUCAAGCACAUUUUGAAAAAGUCAAACUAAGCAAAGUAGCACCACAAUUUCCACAACUUUGAGUAGGAACAGAUGACUUUUUUAUCUUUUUAAGAAAAUGCCAUGGUUGGAGGAGGAGGAGGAUGACCUGUAGAUUUUAAUUUAGGCUGUUUUACUAAAAAUAAAAGGUAUAAAAUGCCUUUUUCUCUUAUAAAAGCAUGAUUCUGUUAUCUUAGCAAUCGUGCUAAAGUUUACUUUGUAAUUUAGUGGACUUGCAUCAUAAAAAAAAAAAAGUCACAGUUAAGAGGUUGCAAGUCACAACUAGGGAACC